RNAcentral lists this ribosomal RNA (468 nucleotides) under uncultured bacterium. Its description in RNAcentral is "partial 16S ribosomal RNA". It matches the Rfam family "Bacterial small subunit ribosomal RNA", at positions 28 to 507 of the family's 1533-position model. The record is from RNAcentral.
GACGAACGCUGGCGGCGUGCUUAACACAUGCAAGUCGAACGGAAAGGCCCGGCCUUUGUGCGGUGCUCGAGUGGCGAACGGGGGAGUAACACGUGAGUAAGCUGCCACUGACCGUAGGGGAACCUAAGGAAACAGGGGCUAAUACGGGCUAGGAGCUCCUGCUGCUGGGUGGGGGCGGGUAGGUUUAGGUGGUUGGGAAUGGACUAGCGGCCUAAUGGCUUGAUGGGGGGGUGGUGGGUGACCAAGGCUAUGAACGGUAGCCGGCCUGGGAGGGUGAGAUGCCAAAUUGCGCCUGAGAUACGGCCCAGACUCCUACGGGAGGCAGCAGUGGGGUAUAUUGCACUAUGGGCGGAACCAUGAUGCAGCAACGCCGCGUGCGGGAAGACGUCCUUCGCGUUGUAAUCCGCUUUCGCCUGUGACGAAGCGUGAGUGACGGUAAUGGGUAAAGAAGCACCGGCUAACUACGUG